GAUGAAGGAACGUAGUGAAAUGCGAUAAGUAAUGUGAAUUGCAGAAUUCAGUGAAUCAUCGAAUCUUUGAACGCACAUUGCGCCCCCCAGUAUUCUGGCGGGCAUGCCUGUUCGAGCGUCAUUUCAACCAUCAAGCCCUGCUUGUGUUGGGGUCCUGCGGCUGCCCGCAGGCCCUGAAAACCAGUGGCGGGCUCGCUAGUCACACCGAGCGCAGUAGCACAUCUCGCUCAGGGCGUGCGGCGGGCUCCAGCCGUUAAAGCACCCACCUUUCGCAAGGUUGACCUCGGAUCAGGUAGGAAUACCCGCUGAACUUAAGCAUAUCAAUAAGCGGAGGA
RNAcentral lists this unclassified non-coding RNA (335 nucleotides) under soil metagenome. RNAcentral describes it as "partial contains 5.8S ribosomal RNA, internal transcribed spacer 2, and large subunit ribosomal RNA". The stretch from base 1 to 121 matches the Rfam family "5.8S ribosomal RNA", at positions 35 to 154 of the family's 154-position model. The record is from RNAcentral.